Molecule: unclassified non-coding RNA, 330 nt
Filed under: uncultured Tremellaceae
Lineage: Eukaryota; Fungi; Basidiomycota; Tremellomycetes; Tremellales; Tremellaceae
Description: sequence contains ITS1
Rfam family: 5.8S ribosomal RNA (bases 1-105)
Source: RNAcentral
GAAAUGCUAUAAGUAAUGUGUAUGGCAGAAUUCAGUGAAUCAUCGAAUCUUUGAACGCUCGUUGCGCCUUUUGGUAUUCCGAAAGGCAUGCCUGUUUGAGUGUCAUGAAAUCUCAAUCCCCCCGGGUUUUCUGAACCCGAGGUGGACUUGGACAUGGGUGUCUGCCGUCUCGUACGGCUCGCCUUAAAUGACUCAGUGGGAUCUUCAGCAUCCGUGGCAGACGUAAUAAGUUUCGUCUCGUCCCUUGCUGUGAGGACCGCUCAUAACCUGCCAUCGAGCACCACUUUCGCCUCUGAACUCAAAACAGGUAGGACUACCCGCUCAACUUAA